This 244-nucleotide ribosomal RNA is filed under the name uncultured bacterium. RNAcentral's name for it is "partial 16S ribosomal RNA". It matches the Rfam family "Bacterial small subunit ribosomal RNA", at positions 796 to 1041 of the family's 1533-position model. The record is from RNAcentral.
CACACAGUAAACGAUGUGCACGAGGUGCUGGGGCGGUAGUUUCAGUGCCGGAGCGAACGCGGUAAGUGCACCGCCUGGGGAGUAUGCUCGCAAGGGUGAAACUCAAAGGAAUUGACGGGGGCCCGCACAAGCGGUGGAGCAUGUGGUUUAAUUCGAUGGUACACGAGGAACCUUACCUGGGUUUGACAUACGGAGGGAAGUGGCAGAGAUGUCACUGCGUAGAGAUACGGCUCCGUACAGGUGC